Molecule: ribosomal RNA, 303 nt
Filed under: uncultured bacterium
Lineage: Bacteria
Description: bacterial SSU rRNA
Rfam family: Bacterial small subunit ribosomal RNA
Source: RNAcentral
UGGGGAAUAUUGGGCAAUGGGCGCAAGCCUGACCCAGCAACGCCGCGUGAAGGAAGAAGGCUUUCGGGUUGUAAACUUCUUUUAAGAGGGACGAAGGAAGUGACGGUACCUCUUGAAUAAGCCACGGCUAACUACGUGCCAGCAGCCGCGGUAAUACGUAGGUGGCAAGCGUUAUCCGGAUUUAUUGGGUGUAAAGGGCGUGUAGGCGGGAGCGCAAGUCAGAUGUGAAAACUCAGGGCUCAACCCUGAGCCUGCAUUUGAAACUGUGUUUCUUGAGUGCUGGAGAGGCAAUCGGAAUUCCGU